UUAAGGAGAGAAAAGGCUCAGCUGAGAAGAUCUUUGAGGCUAGCCAAGAAGAGGGCCAGCAACAGGGAACACCUGUGAAAAUAGGAUUUACAAGACUGGAGUUUGUUACCUGGUUGCUGGGUGCAACGUCAGUGCUUGAGCCAAGAGCUUAGACCCUUGAACUCUUGUGCUCUCUGGUAUCUGGACUACUCUUGGACAAGAGCUUUGGACUUGCAGACUUAACCUUGCUUCUUGGAUACUACUGGUAAUUGGAACACGAGAAGCCAAACCAGCAACUAUAAUAAGGAUGGAAGACAGCAACAGGUGGCCACUCUUGCCAAGCAAACUGCAUAGAAUUUGGAAUCGACCCAGUUGUCAAAAGGCGGGAUGAAGUCUUGCCUUAAUCCUGAAGAACUUGAACUUUUCUGGCAAGUGGUUUUCCCUAUAGUAUAAGAGAAAUCUUGAAGCAAAGUAAGCCUGGUUUGAAAGAAAACAGCAUCUGUAAGUUUCCUGUCCUGUUAAGAAGUCCUGGGCAUGCAAACAAUCCUAAGCAGGAAAGAAUCCAAAGGUAACAUGUAAAGCAAUACCGACCCCCCACCCCCACCCCUCCCCAGGCAUAAAUAGCCUUAACUGAAUGCUGGUCUUCAGCCUGCCCCCCUCUUAAGCAUGCAGCUGGUGACGUCAAGGCUUUUGUUGCCAAUACCCUCAUUCCUUUCCUCCUCCCUUGCACUACUUUAGUCCCACCAAAGGGCCAGGGAAUCCAGACUGCACUGGGAGAUGAGGAGAAGCUGAGGGAAGCCCUGGGUACCACAGGCUGAAGAGCUGUAUUCUCACCAUCCAUCCAUCCAUCCAUCCAUCUACCCAUCCACCCACCUGUCUUCUUCAGGUAGAGCAAGAGAUGCAUUUGCUAUGAUUGGGCUCUUCCAUUUCCAAAAGAUGAUCGAAUACUUAAAACAUUUUAAAGAUGGGGGAAAAAGGAAGCUCUAACAUUUAAAAGUAAACCAAAUGCUGGCUUUCUAAUCCUUGUACUUUAAGCAAAACAACUCUACCUAAUGUGUUAUCGAAGUCUUUCAUGGCUGGAAUGAUUGGGUUGCUGUGAGUUUUUCAAGCUGCAUGACCCUGCUCCAGUAGCAUUCGCUCCUGAUGUUUCAUUUGCAUCUGUGGCAAGCAUCCUUAGAGGUUUGUUCAGACCUCUGAACAAACCUCUAAGGAUGCUUGCCACAGACCUCUGAACAAGCCUCCGAGGAUGCCUGGGUGAAAUGUCAGGAGAGAAUGCUACUGGAACAUGGUUAUACAGCCCGAAAAACACAAAGCAACCCAACUCUAUUUAAACCAGCCUGGAUCUAGCUAAAUCUAAUGGCCAUCUAAUGGUCAAUUUCUUCUUUCAUUCUGCUACUAAUGACACUAUGUAACACAGUUUUUGCUCCUGGGUUAUAAAUAUCAUUUCCUAAUUGGUUUUCCUAUAAAAAAAUGGAAAAAAGGUUUAUUAAACUGCAACAACUUUUUUUCACAGGACAUCCCACAGCACAUUUUGCUGUAGUUUUUCAAUGAAUAUCUCCUUGAGUGUUAACCAAUUCAGCAAAGUU
This is a long non-coding RNA of Anolis carolinensis (green anole), 1565 nucleotides long. Lineage: Eukaryota; Metazoa; Chordata; Lepidosauria; Squamata; Anolidae. The record is from Ensembl.